Molecule: transfer RNA, 68 nt
Filed under: Conus quercinus
Lineage: Eukaryota; Metazoa; Mollusca; Gastropoda; Neogastropoda; Conidae
Description: tRNA-Glu
Source: RNAcentral
GUUCUUGAGGUGUAAACACUGCACAUCAGGUUUUCAUCCUGAAAGUAUAGAAAAAUCUAUCUGGAAUA